UAGGGAAUCUUCCACAAUGGACGCAAGUCUGAUGGAGCAACGCCGCGUGAGUGAAGAAGGUUUUCGGACCGUAAAGCUCUGUUGUUGGUGAAGAAGGAUAGAGGUAGUAACUGGCCUUUAUUUGACGGUAAUCAACCAGAAAGUCACGGCUAACUACGUGCCAGCAGCCGCGGUAAUACGUAGGUGGCAAGCGUUGUCCGGAUUUAUUGGGCGUAAAGCGAGCGCAGGCGGAAGAAUAAGUCUGAUGUGAAAGCCCUCGGCUUAACCGAGGAAUUGCAUCGGAAACUGUUUUCUUGAGUGCAGAAGAGGAGAGUAGAACUCCAUGUGUAGCGGUGGAAUGCGUAGAUAUAUGGAAGAAUACCAGUGGCGAAGGCGGCUCUCUGGUCUGCAACUGACGCUGAGGCUCGAAAGCAUGGGUAGCGAACAGGAUUAGAUACCCUGGUAGUCCAUGCCGUAAACGAUGAGUGCUAAGUGUUGGGAAGCUUCCG
RNAcentral lists this ribosomal RNA (488 nucleotides) under uncultured bacterium. Its description in RNAcentral is "partial 16S ribosomal RNA". It matches the Rfam family "Bacterial small subunit ribosomal RNA", at positions 355 to 836 of the family's 1533-position model. The record is from RNAcentral.